This 400-nucleotide ribosomal RNA is filed under the name uncultured bacterium. RNAcentral's name for it is "bacterial SSU rRNA". It matches the Rfam family "Bacterial small subunit ribosomal RNA", at positions 358 to 774 of the family's 1533-position model. The record is from RNAcentral.
GGAAUAUUGCGCAAUGGAGGAAACUCUGACGCAGUGACGCCGCGUGCAGGAAGAAGGUUUUCGGAUUGUAAACUGCUUUAGACAGGGAAGAAAAAGGACAGUACCUGUAGAAUAAGCUCCGGCUAACUACGUGCCAGCAGCCGCGGUAAUACGUAGGGAGCGAGCGUUAUCCGGAUUUAUUGGGUGUAAAGGGUGCGUAGACGGGAUAGCAAGUUGGCUGUGAAAUCCCUCGGCUUAACUGAGGAACUGCAACCAAAACUACUAUUCUUGAGUGCUGGAGAGGAAAGUGGAAUUCCUAGUGUAGCGGUGAAAUGCGUAGAUAUUAGGAGGAACACCAGUGGCGAAGGCGACUUUCUGGACAGUAACUGACGUUGAGGCACGAAAGUGUGGGGAGCAAACA